Molecule: ribosomal RNA, 372 nt
Filed under: uncultured organism
Description: bacterial SSU rRNA
Rfam family: Bacterial small subunit ribosomal RNA
Source: RNAcentral
CAGAGGGUGCGAGCGUUGUCCGGAAUCACUGGGCGUAAAGGGCGCGUAGGUGGCCCGACAAGUCAGUGGUGAAAGCUCGAUGCUUAACAUCGAGUCGGCCACUGAUACUGUUGGGCUGGAGCACUGUAGAGGCUCAUGGAAUUCCGGGUGUAGCGGUGGAAUGCGUAGAGAUCCGGAAGAACACCGGUGGCGAAGGCGGUGAGCUGGGCAGUAGCUGACACUGAGGCGCGACAGCGUGGGGAGCAAACAGGAUUAGAUACCCUGGUAGUCCACGCCAUAAACGAUGGGCACUAGAUGCUUGGGGGAGCGACCCCCUGAGUGUCGACGCUAACGCAUUAAGUGCCCCGCCUGGGGAGUACGGCCGCAAGGCUG